RNAcentral lists this ribosomal RNA (160 nucleotides) under uncultured bacterium. Its description in RNAcentral is "partial 16S rRNA". It matches the Rfam family "Bacterial small subunit ribosomal RNA", at positions 355 to 511 of the family's 1533-position model. The record is from RNAcentral.
UGGGGAAUUUUGGACAAUGGGCGCAAGCCUGAUCCAGCCAUUCCGCGUGCAGGAUGAAGGCCUCGGUUGUAAACUGCUUUGUACAGAACGAAAAGGCUCUGGUUAAUACCUGGGCUCAUGACGGUACUGUGAGAAUAAGCACCGGCUAACUACGUGUCAG